This 319-nucleotide ribosomal RNA is filed under the name uncultured eukaryote. Its description in RNAcentral is "partial 18S ribosomal RNA". It matches the Rfam family "Eukaryotic small subunit ribosomal RNA", at positions 1470 to 1796 of the family's 1831-position model. The record is from RNAcentral.
CCCUUAGAUGUUCUGGGCAGCACGCGCGCUACAAUGGUCUUCGCAAACGGAUGCAUUCUCGAAGGAGAAUGCCAAUCUUGGAAUCUAUGCCUUGGUCGGGACAGUUGCUUGCAAUUUUUCGACUCGAACCAGGAAUUCCUUGUAAUCGUGAUUCAUCACAUCACGAUGAAUACGUCCCUGCCCUUUGUACACACCGCCCGUCGCUCCUACCGAUCGAAGAGUUAGGUGAAUUGUUUUGAUCGAUAAGAUUUGACUAUGGUCAACUCUCGUUGUGAAAUUCUGUGAAUCUGACUGUUUAGAGGAAGGAAAAGUCGUAAAA